CAAGUUUUAUCUCGUGUUGUUGAUGAGAGCUAUCAGACACCAUCAUGGCCCGCCUCGUGUGCAGCAGCAGUACCAUGAUAGGAAGUAACGCCGCCACAGAGGGUGAUUUGGCAACACUGAUACAAUCGAUAUCUACCCCGCUGCUCUUGCAUUCAGUUACGACCCACGCUGGCCUCGGCUUCGUCCAGGGCCUUCUUCCCCCUUUGAGCCUCUAAGCUCCUCGCUACACCAAAUGGGCUGAAAACCCAUUAACUCGUUUUUUCUGCUCUUUUCUUGCAGAAAAACACAUUCUUUCAACAAAAAUAGCAGCUAUAAAACACGAAAAAUCUAAUCAACGCAAUCGGAGAAAGCGAAACACGGCGCAUGCGCAGGCGAGGGGAAGCUGGGGUCAAGCGACUAUGGUUCCCCUCUCAGACUGCUGUGUGGCCAUCCAACUGCUUGCCCACUCUCCCCUCGCGGCCGGCCAGCUGUUCCUCUCAGUCGGCUGCCGUCUCCCUCGCCCGCAGCAGCAGCCCACGCCCGUCCUGCUUGGCCGACCCCGCCCCCAGUUGACCUUCACACGCUAAGGUGUUUUCUUCCGGCCGGCGGAUACACGCCGGUCGGUCCUACAAAAUGGCAGUCGGCGGUGCAGGACUCCAGGGUUUGGGCAGCGACCUGCCGGGGUCCAGCCUGUGCCAUCAAGGCCUGGCCAGAGGCGCGCCGUCCCACUGCCUCUCUCGCCGCCUCUGGGAGUGAAGGUGGCCGGUGCCGCAGGUCAAGUCGCGCAGGAUAUAGGUCAAGGUGCCUUAUCCUGAAGGUGGUGUGCUGACUCGCCGACAGAGGGCACCAGCCCACCACACCGGCCCGCUCUGCUGUACACGCAAGACGCCGACGACGCCCCCGGAGCUGCCCCCCUCCACCCCCUCUCCUGCACGGCCUGAUGGAGAUGUCCUGCCUGCCUCCUCUCAUCCAGCCUCGCCCAGCCCUGCCACAGACAAGCCCCGAGAGUGGUCCAGCCUCUGAAGGGAUGCUCAAGACAGUUGCAGAUGAACGAGAUGAAGACACACAUACGAACAGAUAAUGGAUGAAUUACGUAAAUCAAAUGAAUAAAAUGAAUGAUGAAGGAAGACUGGAAAAUGAAGCCCCUUUCCAGGUUAUGCAAAUGAAUGGAGCAAGAAGAGUGAAUGCAUGGAAGGAAGGGCGCCAGGUCAAGAUUUUCGACGCGAGAAGUUUAUGCAAAGUUUGAUUAAAGAGAAAAUUACAUCACGCCAAGACAACAACAAGACCGAAAUAAUGUUACAAGAAAGCAAACCAAGAAUUGUCAUCACCACAAGGAAAUAACAACACCGGCGAAACAAAAUAAAGCAAGAAUGAAAACAAGGAGAGAGAGAAAGAAUAACAAAAGAGGCAAAAAUAGUUGAAGACUCGGGGCAACUUCCCGCAGCUGGAAUCGAAGCAGGAAACAAGACACAUAUAAAAGAGAAUGAAAGAAGAAGAAAAAGAAGAACAAGAAGAAAGAAGAACACAAAAAGUCCCAAGAGACCUGAACACCUGCAGCCCAUCCCACCCCUCAGACCACCACACCUUCCUCAGCCCUGCCCAGCCCUGUCCAGCCCGCCCUGCCCUUACCUUGCCGGAGACAGCAGCCCUCACUCAUCCCCUUCCACAGGUCUGCACAAGAGAAAAAAAAAGUAUAUGAAACCCUUUCGCUCUUCAGUUCCAAAAUUAUGACAAAUAACUUUUUUUUUCUUUUAGCUACAAGGUUUACGUAAAAAGUAAUAUUUUUUACAGGAUUAUGAUGAGCUUAAAAAGGAGGGAAAAAAAAAGUUGAGAGUCUACUUAAUGUUCGUUUUAAACUUCAGCAAAAUGACAUAUAAUUUUAAGCUGAUGAUAAGCCCGAAAAAAGUUGAUUGAGGCUAUUAUGUAAUGCCUAAAAAUGAUGAAGGGAAGGCUAUAAUUUUUGCGUCAAAAUUUGGCAAACCUUUCACGCUUCAGAAUGUGUAUAUUAAGGAAGAAUUUAGUGCGGUGGUGACUCGGCUACAAAUUGAAAAUAUUUUGCCUCCUGUUACAAAAUAUUACCAGUGGAACCCCGCAUAUUUUCCUGAGCUGUAAUUAGCGCUAUUUUUAGUAAUAAUAUUUUUCCACCUCCACGUCCUCUAACUAAUUACUACUACUAGUACUACUACCACUACUACUACUGCUGCUACUACUACCACUACUACUACAUUUGAUUAUUAUAUUUUCAUGCAUCUCUCUCUCUCUCUCUCUCUCUCUCUCUCUCUCUCUCUCUCUCUCUCUCUCUCUCUCUCUCUCUCUCUCUCUCUCUCUCUCUCUCUCUCUCUCUCCAUUCACCGCCACCACCGUCUCUCGUUAUACAGCUUCCGCGUUCUCCCUCACGCCUCCCAAAAUCCAUCAGGCCCUUCCUCUCAGUUGUGAUCACGAGGCGAGCUCUUGAGGGGCUUCCGUGAGCCUUUAGCAGCACCCCAAGCCCUCCCACCCGCCUGCAGAAGCCCUCACCCGUCCCUCAGCCUCCCGCCCACUCCCUUCAUCCAUUCCUGAAACCGUCAUCUUCCCCCCUCUCGUGAAGUCCUCAGCCUCCCUCUUAAGUAGGUGUCGUGAUAAUACUCGCCAGGAUCUCUCCCUAAUCCUGCGCCUGUGGUGACGGCGGCCGACGGCGUACGUGUGUGUGUGUGUGUGUGUGUGUGUGUGUGUGUGUGUGUGUGUGUGUGUGUGUGUGUGUGUGUGUGUGUGUGUGUGUGUGUGUGUGUGUGUGUGUGUGUGUGUGUGUGUGUGUGUGUGUGUGUGUGUCCCAGGAGGAACAUCAGUAUGAGAGAAACUGGAGAAGGCACAGAAGGGGAGAGGAGGAUAGAGGAGGAAGAGAAAGCGAGAGUGAAAGACGAGGUAGAGGAAGUGGAUGAGGGAACAGGAAAACGAGAAUGAGGUAUAUGACAAGGAGGAGGAGGAGGAGGAGGAGGAGGAGGAGGAGGAGGAG
Scylla paramamosain (green mud crab) is the source of this 2971-nucleotide long non-coding RNA. RefSeq lists it as uncharacterized. Lineage: Eukaryota; Metazoa; Arthropoda; Malacostraca; Decapoda; Portunidae. The record is from RefSeq and is a predicted model, not a curated record. The transcript has 3 exons.